AAAGACUUAGUCCUAACCUUACCGUUAAUUCUUGCUAAACAUAUACAUGCAAGUAUCCGCACUCCAGUGCAAAUGCCCUAGAACUCUUACAAGAGACAAAAGGAGCAGGCAUCAGGCACACCCAAAGCAGUAGCCCAAGACGCCUUGCUUAGCCACACCCCCACGGGUAUUCAGCAGUAAUUAACAUUAAGCAAUAAGUGUAAACUUGACUUAGUUAUAGCAACACCUAGGGUCGGUAAAUUUUGUGCCAGCCACCGCGGUCAUACAAGAGACCCAAAUUAACCGUAACGCGGCGUAAAGAGUGGUAUCAUGCUAUCACGUCGACUAAGAUCAAAACACAAUUGAGCCGUCAUAAGCUUAAAGUGUGCCUAAGACCGCCCUCAACACGAUCUUAGUACCUAUGAUUAAUUUCAUAGCCACGAAAGCUAGGGCACAAACUGGGAUUAGAUACCCCACUAUGCCUAGCCCUAAAUCCUGAUACUUGCUUAACCAAAGUAUCCGCCUGAGAACUACGAGCACAAACGCUUAAAACUCUAAGGACUUGGCGGUGUCCCAAACCCACCUAGAGGAGCCUGUUCUAUAAUCGAUAACCCACGAUAUACCCAACCGCCCCUUGCCAAAGCAGCCUACAUACCGCCGUCGCCAGCCCACCUCAUUGAGAGCACCACAGUGGGCCAAAUAGUCCCACCGCUAGUAAGACAGGUCAAGGUAUAGCCCAUGGGACGGAAGAAAUGGGCUACAUUUUCUAACCUAGAAAACCCACGGAAGGGGGCAUGAAACUGCCUCCGGAAGGUGGAUUUAGCAGUAAAGCGGGACAAUCGAGCCCCCUUUAAGACGGCACUGGGACACGUACAUACCGCCCGUCACCCUCCUCAACAAAGCUACCCAAGCCCCAUAAUUCAAUGUGCCAACUAGCCAAAGAUGAGGUAAGUCGUAACAAGGUAAGUGUACCGGAAGGUGCACUUAGCAUAU
RNAcentral lists this non-coding RNA (972 nucleotides) under Chordeiles acutipennis (lesser nighthawk). RNAcentral describes it as "partial 12S ribosomal RNA". It matches the Rfam family "Bacterial small subunit ribosomal RNA". Lineage: Eukaryota; Metazoa; Chordata; Aves; Caprimulgiformes; Caprimulgidae. The record is from RNAcentral.